This 253-nucleotide ribosomal RNA is filed under the name uncultured bacterium. RNAcentral's name for it is "partial 16S ribosomal RNA". It matches the Rfam family "Bacterial small subunit ribosomal RNA", at positions 524 to 776 of the family's 1533-position model. The record is from RNAcentral.
GACGGAGGGCGCGAGCGUUGUUCGGAAUCAUUGGGCGUAAAGCGCGCGCAGGCGGCUUGCCAAGUCGGGAGUGAAAUCCCGGGGCUCAACCCCGGGGCGGCUCCCGAAACUGGUGGGCUAGAGACCGGUAGAGGCCGGUGGAAUUCCCGGUGUAGCGGUGGAAUGCGUAGAGAUCGGGAAGAACACCCGUGGCGAAGGCGGCCGGCUGGGCCGGAUCUGACGCUGAGGCGCGAAAGCGUGGGGAGCAAACAGG